This is a long non-coding RNA of Carassius auratus (goldfish), 4826 nucleotides long. RefSeq lists it as uncharacterized. The record is from RefSeq and is a predicted model, not a curated record. The transcript is spliced from 2 exons. Lineage: Eukaryota; Metazoa; Chordata; Actinopteri; Cypriniformes; Cyprinidae.
GGGUCGCAGAAUGAUUUCAAGGGGUCGCGAGUUGGUUUGAAAAAAUUCUGUAUUUUCUGACUACAAAAAAUAUUUUUCAAUACUAAAAAAUUAAGAUUACAAAUAAAUAUUUUUUUUGAUUUCUAAAGACAGAACUGAUUAGAGAUUAAAAAAAAAAAAUAAUAUAAUUUCGUGACUCUAAGAUAACAUCACCCUGCGCCGACUGAUCACUAGUUAUCAAUACUGCACGCAACUGCACGUGGAAACUGCAACGGCAAGAAUGGAUAAAUUUGUAAUUUGCAAGGUUAGAAAUGUUGAGAAAAUUGUGGACAGUCUGCCUGAAUCAUCUGAACCGUGUACCUCUACAAAACACAAGAGCUAGACCUGUUCUGACCAAUGUAGGAAACGUCGGAAAUAUAAAGAGUAAUUCAAAAAGUAUGGAUUCACUUGCUCUUCUGUCAACGAUUUGGACCAUUCUCAGUGUGUAAUCUGUUCAGAAGUGCUUGCCCAUGAAAGUAUGAAGCCUAGAAAAACGCAGAGACAUUUGGAGACAAGAAACCCUGCUUGUGUUGAAAAACCUAUAGACGUUUUUCGCAGAAAAGAGAAGGAAUUAUACAGAUUCAUAUUUGUGUGAGCAGACUUUUUCAGCUGUUACGUACAUGAAAAAAAAAUACAGAUCACGUCUUGAUGUUGAGGAUGAUCUGCGAGUAGCCAUAUCCAACAUCAGGCCACAGAUUACACUUUUGUGCACCGAAAAACAAGUGCACCCAUCCCACUGUAAGGUAAACCUAAAUACAGUAAAUAUUAUGAAAGUUUGUUUCCGCCACGUAAGAAACUAUUUGAAAAGAUAAUUUUUUAAAUCUAAAAAUUGCGAGUUUAAAUCUUGCUAUUCUGACUUGGUUUUUCAUAAUUGUGAAAUACAAACUUGCAGUGUGAGUUAUUAAGUUAUAAAUGGUAUAAAAUCGCAAUUACCUUUUUUAUUUUGUUAUUCUGCAAACAAGCUUCCAUAGGAAGUGGAUGUGGAUUUAAAAGAACUUUUUUUCUGUUUAUUGUUUGUGUAUUCUGUGGUAUUGGGUUGCGAGUUCUCGUCGAUGUUUGUUUAGGGGUCGCUGGCUAAAAAGUUUGAGAACCACUGCAAUAGGGGACAAUCUGAUUAGUCCCACUGCUAAUCAAUUGAAAAGCAGCAUUGGCUCGAGUAUCAGACUGAUGCCCCAUCCGCAAGGAGACACUUUUAGCUGUAUACGCAUACAUUUUUUAUCGUAUAGGCGUUUCGUCCACACAGAUCUGCCGUAUUGGGAGAGUGAAAUCAAUAUUUUUUGAAUGGGGUCCCUAAGUGGGUAAAUCUGAAAAAGACACCCUUGCGUUUUUGUGUGGACAGCAAAUCCGUACAUUUUCUGAAACUUUUUCUGUAGUGUUCCACAUUCGUUUGUAUACCACGUGCAAGGUUUAUACGCAUAGUCCAAGUCUUCUCCGUUUUUAGUGCAUCUCUGUGACAGAAUUACAGUCCCACAAACUGGUCUGGCAUGUGUACAAUAUUUUUUUUGUUUCGAUUUCAUGUGGAUACAGAUAAAUAAAAAUAAAAAAACACCUUGGAUAGGGAAAGCUCUGGCUUCGUGUGGAUGUAGCCUGAUACUAUCAGUCAUGCUUAUUGACAUUGUAAGAUGAUUUACGGUUAGCCGUGUCGGGAAUCCAGCAACAUAUUGGCAUGUUGCUAUCAGAAACAGGUUCAGCCAUCACAUUAAAUCAGGUAAUAUAUUUAUUAUCAGGUUAUAUAUUUGUUUCAUUAUAAUUACGCAUACUAAACCAGGGGCAGUCCUAAACCCUUUUUAGACUACAGCCCCACUAUGUCAUCUUAGCCCUCAAAAACUGGCGCGAGUGAAAUUAGACAACCCUAGGGGGGCACAUGCCCGAAAAGGUUGAAAACCCCUGUGUUUGUACUUUACUGUUUGACAGGAUAGUGUUCUUGUCAGCUAGACUGAAUAAAUCCUCACAUGUCAGGAAUGAAGAACUGUGGUCAGAGGUCUAGAAAACAUUGAUUCCCUUAGCCGUUGGUCAUUUGGGACUCCACGUGAUCUGAGUACAGGACGACAUUGCAACAGUUCGACUUUAAUAAGGUUACAGACCGUAUGCAUUUCCCAAGGACGUGUAUUAGAUAGUAUGUAUCUGAUCUGAAGAACAAAACCUCCCAUUCAUCUCCAAACCAAGCAUAUGAGUACACAAUGAGCAGUGGAAUUGAAAUAGGGCAAUCUCAUUUUUCAAAUUCAUAGAAGAAAUUAAAUGUAAUACUUCUAUUUACUUUCAGUAUAGAGGACUUCGGGUUGGGUGGCCAUUCAUAUUCAAAAGCCCUCAUUGUCAGGAUGCACUGCACCAUUAAUCAAGCAUGUUGAACGGGACCUGAAGGAAUCUCAGAACAAUUAAACAUUCUCGCAUUGGUGACCAUCACCUUCUCAUCUCUGUCACGAUGGCGACAGGCUAACGUACUCCCCUCUCACUCCGCUGCCAUCUACAAGUCAUCCGCACCUUCGUUUUUCAUUCCUGCCUGAGGAGGAAAGUGUAUAUUUCUUUUUAAUGACUGCUAAUUAACCUUGGCCAUGGGGAAGACAGCUCAGGCAGACUGCUGGGUGAAAAAUGGCUCAUAUCAAUAUUCUGUCUGUGUGGCUCACGCAGAAGAACAGCAGGCUGGGUGUGAGGACUGGCUUAAACCAGAGAGGACCGGCCACGUGGAAGAACAACCUUGAUUGUCGUGAAAGAUGGUCCUUAAAUAGGCUUUAUAUUAUGCAAAAUAUAAUGUAUUCUUUCAUACCUCUCAUUUUCUGGGGGUAAAUUAUGACCUGGACAUUGUUGAUUGCAACCAGUAGUCUCUAUGUGCAAACAGUAAAUUAGUAUAGUAUUAUGCGAUUCCGAACACAGCCAUAAUCAUACAAAUCAGCUUACAUUGUUCCGCUGCACAUAAAAGCCAGCAGUCAGCACUAAUAUAGUGUUAUAGCGAUCAGGAUUCACAUUUCACAUAAGCAGUUUGAAAUGAUUUCAGAACGAGCAACGUAUUCCCCUCCUUGCAAACCAUGCUUAUCCCAUUCUUUCCCUCCAAAGUCCUUUCAAAGAGAAAUCUCCAAAGAAUGAGCGCAAACGUCUGGAUUUAAGAGGCAGCUCAUUUGCUACUUAUUGAAGAGAAUAAUUCUCCUGUUAGUGACACUCGAGAGAGCUUUCGCAGGCUGCACAGUUGGAGAGAUUUAGGAAGUGUAAUCACAUUUCAUGCUCCUGUGAUUGUGUCGUCAGGAAUAAUUCAGAUGAUGUCAUUUACUCACUCUCAUCAUACUCAACCCAUUUGACCCAUAUUUAUAUUUCAACCUCAAAAUUUGUGGGUUGGGGUCAGUGAAAUUUGAGAAACUUGUGGUUUGGUCGCAUGUCCUAAAAGGUUGAAAACCCCUUGCCUAAUGGGUUAAAACAGCAUGAGAGAGUACAACAAUAACCGAAUUUCCAUUUUUGGGUAAACUAUCCUUUUAAGCACCAAAUGUAUUUAACAAUCACAAGGUCUCAAUCACUCAAACAAUCACUUUUUCUCUCAUUGUAGAGCAGAACGUUUAAGAUUAUGAUCAUAACAAUCAGGAUUUACUGGCCAGCACAUAAAAAUUAAAUAUAUAUUUGAAGUUUACAAGAUCAAAUUUAACAUUUGCAUUAAAUGUGCAAACCCAGAAAACAGAGGGCAAUGGCAAUGUCUUAAAAUAAUUUGGUCAAUUUCCUCAAUCAUCCAAACUUUUUCUGCGAAAUACAGAAAUAAUAUAUUUUUGGGGGGUCCAACAUGUUAAUUUGACUCAACUUUCAUAGCAUGGAUCAAAUGGAAUCUAUUCAAGAACAUGUCAAAAUGAAAUUAUACCUUAAAAUCUAAAUAAAGAAAUUAGUAGUAUAACAUAUUUAGCUUAUUAAAAAGUUUUUGCUUGUAAUUAAGCUGUAUUUUCUUUACUGCAAUUUUCUUUUAUAAAAUUAAAAUUAUAAAAAAAUUAAACUACUUAUGAAAAUAAUUAAAUUACUAUAAAACAAAUUCGAUGCAUUAAAUUGAUAAAAAAAAAAAAAAAAAAAAAAGCCAUGAAAGCCAUGAUUUACUCUUUUGGUGAACAAUCUCCCAAGUUAUAUUUGAAGCAUCGCAAGCCUCUUUGAAGAUGGAGAAUAAAUAGUUCAUCAUAAAAAGUUCACUCCUCGUUUAAAAUCAGAAACAAAAAUAGGCCCCACGUUACUAUUUCUAUCAGCCUGUCAUGAUGAGGAACAGACUGCCUGGAAUACAAGUGAUACAGUAUGUGUAUGCUUAUGUUAAGCUUCUGUGAAUCAAUGCAUUGGCCUGAGUAUUAACAGUCUGUGUGAAAUCAUCCUUUCAUUCAGUCCACAGCAUAGUUACACACCAUGACUUCAAAUAAGGUGUCAGGUUAAGAUUAUGCUACAUUAAGAGUGUAUUUCUUGUACAUAGUUCUGUGUUGUGGCAACUUGGCUUUUCCACUAAAGGAUCCUGAAGGUCUACUGAAGGCAAAGCAGAGAGAUCAUGCCUUAAAGAACCCACAUGAGUUAGAUGAACUCAGUCUCAGUAGUAUACGUGACGGCUGGAGUCAGAGCGGGGCAUAACUAAUGUGACGAUAACAUUCGUUCCACAUAUUUACUAUAACGCAUGGAUUUCAAAACAGAAGGAAUGUUUUAUGUAAUCCAUCGAGUCUAUGUUAACUGUUGUUCUUGAACAAUGCUUCAUGAGGGCUAGCAUGUUUCUGCUAUUCUACACAGAAUUAUACAAUUUAUAUGGGCAUAAAAUAGAUAAAUGUCUAAUUAUGUACAACCACAAAAAAUAAAGGAUCAUGUAUUUUCAA